This 617-nucleotide ribosomal RNA is filed under the name Enterobacterales bacterium. RNAcentral's name for it is "bacterial SSU rRNA". It matches the Rfam family "Bacterial small subunit ribosomal RNA", at positions 120 to 732 of the family's 1533-position model. The record is from RNAcentral. Lineage: Bacteria; Pseudomonadati; Pseudomonadota; Gammaproteobacteria; Enterobacterales.
GGGAAACUGCCUGAUGGAGGGGGAUAACUACUGGAAACGGUAGCUAAUACCGCAUAACGUCGCAAGACCAAAGAGGGGGACCUUCGGGCCUCUUGCCAUCAGAUGUGCCCAGAUGGGAUUAGCUAGUAGGUGGGGUAACGGCUCACCUAGGCGACGAUCCCUAGCUGGUCUGAGAGGAUGACCAGCCACACUGGAACUGAGACACGGUCCAGACUCCUACGGGAGGCAGCAGUGGGGAAUAUUGCACAAUGGGCGCAAGCCUGAUGCAGCCAUGCCGCGUGUAUGAAGAAGGCCUUCGGGUUGUAAAGUACUUUCAGCGAGGAGGAAGGUGCUGAGGUUAAUAACCUCAGCAAUUGACGUUACUCGCAGAAGAAGCACCGGCUAACUCCGUGCCAGCAGCCGCGGUAAUACGGAGGGUGCAAGCGUUAAUCGGAAUUACUGGGCGUAAAGCGCACGCAGGCGGUCUGUCAAGUCGGAUGUGAAAUCCCCGGGCUCAACCUGGGAACUGCAUUCGAAACUGGCAGGCUAGAGUCUUGUAGAGGGGGGUAGAAUUCCAGGUGUAGCGGUGAAAUGCGUAGAGAUCUGGAGGAAUACCGGUGGCGAAGGCGGCCCCCUGG